GACGAACGCUGGCGGCGUGCUUAACACAUGCAAGUCGAACGCUGAAGCUUGGUGCUUGCACUGGGUGGAUGAGUGGCGAACGGGUGAGUAAUACGUGAGUAACCUGCCCUUGACUCUGGGAUAAGCCUGGGAAACUGGGUCUAAUACUGGAUACGACAUGUCACCGCAUGGUGGUGUGUGGAAAGGGUUUUACUGGUUUUGGAUGGGCUCACGGCCUAUCAGCUUGUUGGUGGGGUAUGGCUCACCAAGGCGACGACGGGUAGCCGGCCUGAGAGGGUGACCGGCCACACUGGGACUGAGACACGGCCCAGACUCCUACGGGAGGCAGCAGUGGGGAAUAUUGCACAAUGGGCGGAAGCCUGAUGCAGCGACGCCGCGUGAGGGAUGACGGCCUUCGGGUUGUAAACCUCUUUCAGCACGGAAGAAGCGAAAGUGACGGUACGUGCAGAAGAAGCGCCGGCUAACUACGUG
RNAcentral lists this ribosomal RNA (471 nucleotides) under uncultured bacterium. RNAcentral's name for it is "partial 16S ribosomal RNA". It matches the Rfam family "Bacterial small subunit ribosomal RNA", at positions 28 to 507 of the family's 1533-position model. The record is from RNAcentral.